CAUUAGCAGAUUCCUACCCUGUGGCAUCCUCCUUCAGCUCAGUGCUGUUAUGUUACUCAAAACAGGAAUUUGCACCUUUUCCAGGGGAUGAAAAUGAUUUGGCCCUUCAGGAAUGUCUCGGCUUUCAAUUCAUAUUUCACAAAGUCCAGCCCUGUCUGCAGUUUGCUGUCACCCAGGAUGAUGCUGAAAAUGUAAAGGGUUAUCUGAGAUUGACAGUAACCUUGGAAUGAAGCUACAGUGAUUUCAGCAUGCAGCCCACUAAGAACUAGACUGAUCUGGAUUGUUGGAUUACUUUGACUUAAACUUCUCUGAAAUCAAAGUAAGUGAUCUUGAAUGUGAAGCUGCAUAAGUAACAUGUGGAUGGCACAGCCCAAUCUCUAACCUGUGUUAAACUUUUGAUCCUGACUGGCACUGAAAGAAGUAGUAUAUGAGGGAACAUACGAAACCUAUGCUGAGAGAACAGAGCAGGUUGUUAAGCAUUCAUAUCUGCACCAAGCCCAUGUGUGCUGUGCUGUUCAAGAAUACAACCCAGUGUUCCUCCAAAGAGGAUAUUUAGCAGCAUCUUUUUCAGAGAAAUGAUGCAUACGGUUUCACUACAGGGCUGAGAUGCUAAUUAGAAUCUACGGUUUCCAGACAAUCUCUUCCAUUAAAUGUUUCUCUUUUCUCUAUAGUCCAAGCUUGCAAACAAAGAGGAUUUUCUGGCUUCUCACCAAUAAGAAACUAAUUAUAGACAGCUUGAUAAUGUCUGGCAAUAAUCUGAUCAGCUGACUCCUAGUUCCUGAACACCCUUAAUGGGGUGAGAAGGGAAUAUGAGAAUGACAAUACAACUUUCCAGUCUAUGGUUCUCACUUAUUCAUCUCCAGGUACCACAAAGCCCUAAAUAUACCCGUAUGUUUCUGCUUGCAAGAAAAUGUGUGGAUAAUUAAAAUCCAAGCUGUAUGACAGGCUGUUUCUCUCAGUAAAGAGGGAUUCGUGCUAAAUGAGCUGUAGAUCAACAAAUGUUUGGAGAGCCCAAAGAGUCACCUCAUCCAAGCUGCCUUCCUCUUCUUAGCCUGACUCUCAACUCAUAGACAGAUGCCAAUUGUUCCUUCCCUUUCUGCUUUCUAGACCAUGCUUUCCUUUCAUUGCUGAGCAUGGUCUUCUUUAGUUCUCUGCUGCUCCUGAGUACUUCCUACCUCUUCCAGGAGAAGGACCAGAACAUGGACUACUACAAUUCAGAAGAGAGACCUUAGUGACUAAAGAACGCCGAUGUUUCCACCAUCAUAUGCACUAAAAGGCAUCUAGCAGCUCUCCAAGGAGCUGCUGAGCCUGUUGCAUCUGGAUUUUUGUGGCUUGCAGCCCACCCUAGGACUCCACCUACCGCCAUCCCUUCUAGGGGUUUGGAAAGCACAGGGCUGAUAACAGUGAGAUAAGUAACAGCUAAUGUGAGCUGUCAGAACAAAUCAGUUUAAUUUCAGUCUGCGAUAGGGCAAUCAAUCUUGAAGAUAAAGGAGAAACAGUGGAUGUUACAUAUCUUGGCUUUUAUACUAGUCAAAUGACAAAUUUUAGUGACGUUUUCUCAAGCAAAUUGAAGGAGAGCGGUCUAAAUGAAUAGACUUAACUUUGUUAUUGAAGAGGAAGGCAAUAUUAAGUAAGGUUCUGCACUGAUCUCUCCUAGAUCCCAUGGUAUUUGUUAUUUUCAAUAAAGAUCUAAAUGACAGCCUGCAGAACACCUUGUGAAUUUUCAGGUAAUGCCAAGAUGUGAGGAGAUGCUGGGGUGUAUCGGAAGGCAGGGCUAGAAGACCAAAGCACCCCCAGACUGGAGCAGUGUCAAAACAAAAACAGGAUGCAGUCUGGAAGGGGCUGGUGAAAGGUGCUAAAAUUAGGCAGAAAACAAAACACCCUGCAGUGGUAUGGGGGAAACCAGCUGUCUGAAGGACAGUUCUGCAGAAACUGAUCUAGGGGGCGACCCACAUCACAUCUGUCAACAAGGCAAUAGCAUUAAUGAGGAAAAAAUGCACACCAGCAUGUGUAAAAGGAAGUCUGCAAGAAACAUCAGUAAUAUGUCUAAUCCUGGAUAACAAUCUUGCAAAAAAAUGUGGAUAUAAACUGCAGGGGAACACCAGCAAUAACAACUGGUACAGAAGGGACAGAGUACAAGCCUUAAAGGAGACAUUGAAGGAAAACAGCCUUACAAUGCUCACAUGUGUAAAGAGAAAAAAGCUCUGUCAUGUGAAGCAGGUUAUAAUCACGAUACAAUCAGUUCUUGUAUUCAUAAAGUAAGAAGAGAGCUUAAAUUUUAGCAGGAAAGAUUCUGACUGGGAAGAACUUCCUAAUACUGGGAAGAUAAACACUGUAGUAGACUGCUCAGAGAAGUUGUGAAGGAUCUUAGCUUUGACAGCGUGUAAGAAUAGUUUGUAUAAAAGUUACCUGGAACAUGCAUCACCUGUACCCCUGCACUGUGCUUGAGUCUCAAUUUCUGUCUGCAAUUCAGUUACUGAUUGUGCUGUCACAAUUGGAGCACAAACUUGGUUCUCCCAGUGACAGCCCACUCAUUCAGAAGGUUCUAUGGAAGGAGGUUGCUGUGACACCCUCCAAGCUAGACUUCUGAAUACAUUAGCACUUAGUAACAGCAGCCAGGAGAUGUAGGAGCAAGAUCCUAGAAAACCACUGGUGGGACAAGAACUUCAAUCAGCUUUUGAUACCUAGACAAGAGCUUCAGUCAGCUAUUAAUGCCUAGAUCACUUCAUUCUAUAAUCUCUUUCGAUCCCUCCUGAGAUCCCUAGCUGAGAAACCUUACUGGCAAGGAGAGGUUGAAUGUGGAGGCACAUUUCCUUCAUUAAAAUAACAGCCCAAUCA
Coturnix japonica (Japanese quail) is the source of this 2838-nucleotide non-coding RNA. The record is from RefSeq and is a predicted model, not a curated record. NCBI's taxonomy places the organism in Eukaryota, Metazoa, Chordata, Aves, Galliformes, Phasianidae.